RNAcentral lists this ribosomal RNA (406 nucleotides) under uncultured bacterium. RNAcentral describes it as "partial 16S ribosomal RNA". It matches the Rfam family "Bacterial small subunit ribosomal RNA", at positions 30 to 526 of the family's 1533-position model. The record is from RNAcentral.
AUUGAACGCUGGCGGCAGGCCUAACACAUGCAAGUCGAACGAGUGGCGGACGGGUGAGUAAUGUCUGGGAAACUGCCUGAUGGAGGGGGAUAACUACUGGAAACGGUAGCUAAUACCGCAUACCAUCGGAUGUGCCCAGAUGGGAUUAGCUAGGAGGUGGGGUAACGGCUCACCUAGGCGACGAUCCCUAGCUGGUCUGAGGUGAUGACCAGCCACACUGUAACGGAGACACGGUCCAGACUCCGACGGGCGGCAGCAGUGGGGAAUAUUGCACAAUGGGCGCAAGCCUGAUGCAGCCAUGCCGCGUGUAUGAAGAAGGCCUUCGGGUGGUAAAGUACUUUCAGCGAGGCGUCGUUACCCGCAGAAGAAGCACCGGCUAACUCCGUGCCAGCAGCCGCGGUAAUUC